GGGUUGUGAGGUUAAGCGACUAAGCGUACACGGUGGAUGCCCUGGCAGUCAGAGGCGAUGAAGGACGUGCUAAUCUGCGAAAAGCGUCGGUAAGGUGAUAUGAACCGUUAUAACCGGCGAUGUCCGAAUGGGGAAACCCAGUGCAAUUCGUUGCACUAUCGUUAACUGAAUACAUAGGUUAACGAGGCGAACCGGGGGAACUGAAACAUCUAAGUACCCCGAGGAAAAGAAAUCAACCGAGAUUCCCCCAGUAGCGGCGAGCGAACGGGGAGCAGCCCAGAGUCUGAAUCAGCUUGUGUGUUAGUGGAACGGUCUGGAAAGUCCGACGGUACAGGGUGAUAGUCCCGUACACCAAAAUGCACAGGCUGUGAACUCGAAGAGUAGGGCGGGACACGUGGUAUCCUGUCUGAAUAUGGGGGGACCAUCCUCCAAGGCUAAAUACUCCUGACUGACCGAUAGUGAACCAGUACCGUGAGGGAAAGGCGAAAAGAACCCCGGCGAGGGGAGUGAAAAAGAACCUGAAACCGUGUACGUACAAGCAGUGGGAGCACCUUCGGGUGUGACUGCGUACCUUUUGUAUAAUGGGUCAGCGACUUAUAUUCUGUAGCAAGGUUAACCGUAUAGGGGAGCCGCAGGGAAACCGAGUCUUAACUGGGCGUUAAGUUGCAGGGUAUAGACCCGAAACCCGGUGAUCUAGCCAUGGGCAGGUUGAAGGUUGGGUAACACUAACUGGAGGACCGAACCGACUAAUGUUGAAAAAUUAGCGGAUGACUUGUGGCUGGGGGUGAAAGGCCAAUCAAACCGGGAGAUAGCUGGUUCUCCCCGAAAGCUAUUUAGGUAGCGCCUCGUGAACUCAUCUUCGGGGGUAGAGCACUGUUUCGGCUAGGGGGUCAUCCCGACUUACCAACCCGAUGCAAACUACGAAUACCGAAGAAUGUUAUCACGGGAGACACACGGCGGGUGCUAACGUCCGUCGUGAAGAGGGAAACAACCCAGACCGCCAGCUAAGGUCCCAAAGUCAUGGUUAAGUGGGAAACGAUGUGGGAAGGCACAGACAGCCAGGAUGUUGGCUUAGAAGCAGCCAUCAUUUAAAGAAAGCGUAAUAGCUCACUGGUCGAGUCGGCCUGCGCGGAAGAUGUAACGGGGCUAAACCAUGCACCGAAGCUGCGGCAGCGACACUAUGUGUUGUUGGGUAGGGGAGCGUUCUGUAAGCCUGCGAAGGUGUGCUGUGAGGCAUGCUGGAGGUAUCAGAAGUGCGAAUGCUGACAUAAGUAACGAUAAAGCGGGUGAAAAGCCCGCUCGCCGGAAGACCAAGGGUUCCUGUCCAACGUUAAUCGGGGCAGGGUGAGUCGACCCCUAAGGCGAGGCCGAAAGGCGUAGUCGAUGGGAAACAGGUUAAUAUUCCUGUACUUGGUGUUACUGCGAAGGGGGGACGGAGAAGGCUAUGUUAGCCGGGCGACGGUUGUCCCGGUUUAAGCAUGUAGGCUGGUUAUCCAGGCAAAUCCGGAUAAUCAAGGCUGAGGUGUGAUGACGAGGCACUACGGUGCUGAAGUAACAAAUGCCCUGCUUCCAGGAAAAGCCUCUAAGCAUCAGGUAACAUCAAAUCGUACCCCAAACCGACACAGGUGGUCAGGUAGAGAAUACCAAGGCGCUUGAGAGAACUCGGGUGAAGGAACUAGGCAAAAUGGUGCCGUAACUUCGGGAGAAGGCACGCUGGUGUGUAGGUGAAGUCCCUGCGGAUGGAGCUGAGACCAGUCGAAGAUACCAGCUGGCUGCAACUGUUUAUUAAAAACACAGCACUGUGCAAACACGAAAGUGGACGUAUACGGUGUGACGCCUGCCCGGUGCCGGAAGGUUAAUUGAUGGGGUUAUCCGUAAGGAGAAGCUCUUGAUCGAAGCCCCGGUAAACGGCGGCCGUAACUAUAACGGUCCUAAGGUAGCGAAAUUCCUUGUCGGGUAAGUUCCGACCUGCACGAAUGGCGUAAUGAUGGCCAGGCUGUCUCCACCCGAGACUCAGUGAAAUUGAACUCGCUGUGAAGAUGCAGUGUACCCGCGGCAAGACGGAAAGACCCCGUGAACCUUUACUAUAGCUUGACACUGAACAUUGAGCCUUGAUGUGUAGGAUAGGUGGGAGGCUUUGAAGCGUGGACGCCAGUCUGCGUGGAGCCAACCUUGAAAUACCACCCUUUAAUGUUUGAUGUUCUAACGUUGGCCCCUUACCGGGGUUGCGGACAGUGUCUGGUGGGUAGUUUGACUGGGGCGGUCUCCUCCCAAAGCGUAACGGAGGAGCACGAAGGUUAGCUAAUCCUGGUCGGACAUCAGGAGGUUAGUGCAAUGGCAUAAGCUAGCUUGACUGCGAGCGUGACGGCGCGAGCAGGUGCGAAAGCAGGUCAUAGUGAUCCGGUGGUUCUGAAUGGAAGGGCCAUCGCUCAACGGAUAAAAGGUACUCCGGGGAUAACAGGCUGAUACCGCCCAAGAGUUCAUAUCGACGGCGGUGUUUGGCACCUCGAUGUCGGCUCAUCACAUCCUGGGGCUGAAGUAGGUCCCAAGGGUAUGGCUGUUCGCCAUUUAAAGUGGUACGCGAGCUGGGUUUAGAACGUCGUGAGACAGUUCGGUCCCUAUCUGCCGUGGGCGCUGGAGAAUUGAGGGGGGCUGCUCCUAGUACGAGAGGACCGGAGUGGACGCAUCACUGGUGUUCGGGUUGUCAUGCCAAUGGCACUGCCCGGUAGCUAAAUGCGGAAGAGAUAAGUGCUGAAAGCAUCUAAGCACGAAACUUGCCCCGAGAUGAGUUCUCCCUGAGACUUUAAGUCUCCUGAAGGAACGUU
This 2825-nucleotide ribosomal RNA is filed under the name Klebsiella pneumoniae. RNAcentral's name for it is "bacterial LSU rRNA". It matches the Rfam family "Bacterial large subunit ribosomal RNA". The record is from RNAcentral. Lineage: Bacteria; Pseudomonadati; Pseudomonadota; Gammaproteobacteria; Enterobacterales; Enterobacteriaceae.